CUGCUGCUGAAAUUAAACCCCACAGCUGCCCAUGGCUUCUGAGUCUGUCAUUGGAAGUGAGGGUACUGCCAUAUUCCCUGCCCAAUCUUAUAGAACAGGGUGAGAGUAAAGGUCAGUCUACACAGAGCACCAGGAUGUCAAGUAUUAAAGAUAACAGAGUCAGAAGUAAAAGCCUCAUCUGCCAUCCUAAAUUUGAGUGGCCAAUGUCUAUGGGAAGCUGCGAUGUAUUGUUUUUUCAGAUAACACUUGUUUUUAAGUUCUAAGACACAGAAAAGCCAGCCAGGUGGUGGUGGCCCACGCCUGUAAUCCCAGCACUCUGGGAGGCAGAGGCGAGCGGAUUUCUGAGUUCGAGGCCAGCCUGGUCUACAGAGUGAGCUCCAGGACAGCCAGGGCUAUACAGAGAAACCCUGUCUUGAAAAAACCAAAUCCAAAAAACCAAAACAAACAAACAAACAAACAAACAAAAAACACAGAAAAGCCCUGGAAAUACUGAGUGUGCAGCCUUCAGCAGUAAGGCCCGGGGCCAGCCCGUAGGAAGGUAGGUGCUGUUUCUCACUGGAAGGAGACAGGGGUCCUUUGAGGGACCAUUGCUCACGCAACUGAAGCAGUGCUCAGAUAAGCCAGACUGCAGGGUUAGAGGCCCUAGUCUGGCCAGACGGCCGUCCCUUCUCAUACCAGAAUCUCCAAUGCCUCAGGCUUCAGUGGUUCACUAGAACGUUCAACGUGGCUAGAAGCCGUUGUGCCCGUGGUCAUAGGGCAUUACUGGGGAGAGACACAGAUUAAAAGCAAGGCAGGAUAAGAGCCUAGAAGCACGGGAUCUGGGAGGGUUCAGAGCCUGAAGGACUCAGAACAUGCUGCCUCCCCACUUCAGUGAGGGGACUGGAGGGUUGCCAGCCCAGGAAGGGCCUACAAUCUUCAUGUGCAAAGUUUGUACUGUGGCCCCAUUGUGUAGGUGUGGCUGACUGAUUGAUUACAUGGCUGACUGAUUGUUUACAUGGCUGACUGAUUGAUUGCAUGGUUGAUUUUUUUUUUUUUUAAGUUUCCAGGUUGACCCGUAUCACAUGACCUAAAGCUCUCACCUUAUACUAACACAGCUGAUCUCUCCUGUGUGACCAGCCCUUCUCUAGCACCAGAGGGUGUGGCCGGCUCCACCCUCAACAAAGACAUUUCUGUCACAUAUGAUGUAGAUUACUUUCCAGAAGUUGAGAGCAAAGAUGAGCCCUCCCUUUAGGUCAAGCCAAACUCUUACUCCACAGGAACAAACACAGUAAGAUCUGGAAAAGCUUGUCCUGCCAGAAGAUGAAGAAACUAUCAAAGACUAACAGAGGUUGGAAAGUCUCUGGCGCCAACCUGAAGUCAAAGAGAGAAUAAUUUGAUCAAAAAACUGAAAUUACAAUGAUUGAAUUACCUAAAACAUGUUGAAACCCUUAAGGUUGUGUAGUGGCUGCUUUCCUGUCAGCUUGAUACAGCUAGUGCCAUCCUUAAGGAGGGAACCUCAGCUGGGAAAAUGCCUCUGUAAAACUGGGCUGUGGGCAAGCCUGCAAGGCAUUUUCUUAAUUGGUGAUUGAUGGAGGAGGGCCCAGUCCAUUGUGGCCCUGGGUUCUAUAAGAAAGCAGGCUGAGCAAGCCAUGGGGAGCAAGCCAGUAAGCAGCACCCUCCAUGGCCUCUGCGUCAGCUCCUGCCUCCAGGAUCCUGCUCUGCUUGAGUUCCAGUUCUGACUUCUUCCAGUGAUGGAAGUGUAAGCCAAAUAAAAUAAACCCUUUCCUCCCAACCUACUUUUGCUCACCGUAUUUCAUCCGCAGUGGUAACCCAACUAAGACAGGUUGUGAGAAAUACCACACUACAAACCAUAGUGGUCCCUCUGAAGAGUGCCAGGAACCCAAAUCACUGAUCACAAAACGUUCAUGAAGAGGUUCAAAUACAUCUCAGCACUGCCAAAUAACUGACAAAAUAACACUUAAAAAAAAAGAGCUGCACUCACCAGGCGUGGUGGUGGCACAGACCUGUAAGCUCAGCACGUAGGAGACUGAAGCAGGCCGGAGAGUAAAUUCCAGACCAGCCAAGCAGAAUAGCAACUUCCAGACCACAAGAUCACAGGGACAUUAAAAGAUGUCUCCAGGACCGAACAAACAAGCCGAGUACAAAGUCCUAGAUUUAAUUCCCAGCGCCUCCUCCCUCAAAAGCAUUAACCCAGCAAGCGUACAAUAGAGGUGUGGGGACAGAGUCUCACACUCCAGUGGUUCCGCUGGGUUUUCUGUGGGACUGCAGGUUGAACCCAGGGUCUGGUGCAGUUCUGUGCAAGCACUCUGCCACUGAGCCAUAGCCUGACCCUGAAUUGUGUAAGGCAAACAGUCCUGCUUAAGGAGAAUUUCACUAGUGUAACUAGAGGACUAGGCGGUGAGCAGACACUUGGAUCAGACUGGAAAAUGCUCCUUAGUGACGUCUGCCAGGACUCGCCAGCAGAGUGAAAAGAUCGCUAACCAAGUGAGGCGACGUGUAGAACAUGCAGAAAUGUAAAGUCAUACACCAUAUCACAUCCAGAAUGUAAAGUCAUACACCACAUCCAGAAAUGUAAAGUCAUACACCACAUCACAUCCAGAAUGUAAAGUCAUACACCACAUCACAUCCAGAAUGUAAAGUCAUACACCACAUCACAUCCAGAAUGUAAAGUCAUACACCACAUCACAUCCAGAAUGUAAAGUCAUACACCACAUCACAUCCAGAAUGUAAAGUCAUACACCACACCACAUCCAGAAAUGUAAAGUCAUACACCACAUCACAUCCAGAAUGUAAAGUCAUACACCACAUCACAUCCAGAAUGUAAAGUCAUACACCACAUCACAUCCAGAAUGUAAAGUCAUACACCUACUUUGAAAGCACUAGGCAGUUUCUCGUAAAUGUACACUUACCAUACAGAAUCUUCAAGCAGAUUACCAAAGAGAAUUCAAAACAGAAAUCUAGGGAGAACUUUGCACAAUGGUGUUAUUGCAGCUUUGUUUAAUAAAGCUCCAAACAGAAUGGUUGUGGUAAACUGCCGGGUGACUCUCAGCACAGCAGUGUAUGGUUCCACUUACUGGACAUUGGAACAUAACAGACAUCAGCGAUUGUUGGAACCCAGGGACUAGAGGGCUCUGAGAAUGUUCUGUGUCUUAACCGUGAUAGAAUCUGAUUCUUGUAUUGGUUGAAGCCCAGAAAAAUAGUCAUUUUAAUAAAUCAAACUGGAUACUAGAGAGAUGGAUCAGUGGUUAGGCAUACACUGGCUUCUAACCCUGGGUUUGCAGCACCCACAUGGUGGCUCUCAUGAAAUGCCAGGUGGUAGGGGGUGGCACACUCUCCUGGUCUCUACAGGUGGUAGGGGGUGGCACACUCUCCUGGUCUCUACAGGUGGUAGGGGGUGGCACACUCUCCUGGUCUCUACAGGUGGUAGGGGUUGGCACACUCUCCUGGUCUCUACAGGUGGUAGGGGGUGGCACACUCUCCUGGUCUCUAUAGGUGGUAGGGGGUGGCACACUCUCCUGGUCUCUACAGGUGGUAGGGGGUGGCACACUCUCCUGGUCUCUAUAGGCACCAGGUAUGUACACAGGUGUACAAACUCUGAUGUAAGCAAGCACGCAUACAUAUAAAAUGAAUCUUUUAUAAAGAGACAAACAUAUGUAAAUUUUAUGCAAAUUAUGCCAUAGCAAAACCUGUUUUGAAAGAGGGAGGCUGGGUACAUAGCUCAGUGCUACAGCACUUGCCUAGCACACACAAAGUUCUGUGUUUGAUUCCCCAGGACAGCAGAAACAUUUAUCAGUUCAGUCUUUGACUGAUUGUGUAAAGACUGCUGAGUCUGUCAGCGAGAGGGGGUGGAGCACGCCCUGAGGUCUCUACUGUUGCAGUAAAGCACCGUGAACCUAAGCGGCCUGGGGAGGAGAGAGUUUGUUUCUUCUUACUGCUCUCAGCCACUCUUAUCACAGCGGGGAAUGAGGGCAGGAGCCCAGGCAGGGCAGGAGCCUGCAGGCGGGGCUGAUGCAGAGGCCACAGAGGGUGCUACCUAUGGCCUGCUCCUCCCGACUUAGCCUGCUUUCUUACAGAACCCAGGACCACACCAGAGGUGGCCCCACCCAUGGUGAGCUGGACCCCCCCCACAUCAACCAUUAAUCAAGAAAAUGCCCUCCAGACUUGCCUACAGCUGGUCCUAUGGCUGCAUUUCUCAGUUGCCGUUCCCUUUGAGAUAGUGCUAGCUGGGAAAGGCGCUUUCUGCUGAAUAUUGGUUUGUGACAAACCCAACCAUAUUCGUGAUUAUUGCUCAUGGUGCUGGGGAUAAAGCCUGUGUGUGGCCUCACACUGUGCUAGGCAAACUCUCUUCACAAGAAGCUGCAACACACACACACACACACACACACACACACCGAGAGAGAGACAGAGAGAGAAGACAUCUUGGUCAAGACCCUGAGCUAGGGUCUGGUCAGUCUCUAGUUAGAACUACUACAGGGGGCAGAGGGGCAUUUUAAAUGACAUCAAAGAUUGCAGUCCCAGCAUCCAAGAUGUCAGGUUUUUACAGAUCAAGAAAUGCAGUGCCUUUAACAAAUGAAUUACAAGGAGAAAAGAAGGAUCCUGUGAAUUAAUAGAUUUGAGGCACAUCAAAUAAGAUCCUUCUUUAAAAUAACUGUCAGGAGGCUGGAGAGAUGGCUCAGCAGUUAAGAGCACUUGCCACUCUCCCAGAGGACCUGGGGUCAGUUCCCAGCACUACAUGGCAGCAAACCCACAAUCAUCCUAGCUCCAGAUCAGGGAUCUGAUGCCCACCUCUGGCCUCUCAGACACCAAGCGCACACGUGCUCAUAGACAUACAUGCAGACAGAGCAUUCAUGCAUGAAAAUAAAUAAAUUUUUAAAACUUUUAAAAGUAAAAUAACUA
Molecule: long non-coding RNA, 4896 nt
Organism: Apodemus sylvaticus (European woodmouse)
Lineage: Eukaryota; Metazoa; Chordata; Mammalia; Rodentia; Muridae
Exons: 3
Source: RefSeq, a predicted model, not a curated record